GGAAGUGUGGCUGAGCGGUCGAAAGCGUCGGUCUUGAAAACCGAAGGCGUUAACGCGUCCGUGGGUUCGAAUCCUACCACUUCCU
Molecule: transfer RNA, 85 nt
Filed under: Candidatus Brocadiales bacterium
Lineage: Bacteria; Pseudomonadati; Planctomycetota; Candidatus Brocadiia; Candidatus Brocadiales
Description: tRNA-Ser
Rfam family: tRNA
About the family: Transfer RNA (tRNA) molecules are approximately 80 nucleotides in length. Their secondary structure includes four short double-helical elements and three loops (D, anti-codon, and T loops).
Source: RNAcentral